AGAUUGAACGCUGGCGGCAUGCCUUACACAUGCAAGUCGAACGGCAGCACGGGAGCAAUCCUGGUGGCGAGUGGCGAACGGGUGAGUAAUACAUCGGAACGUGCCCAAUCGUGGGGGAUAACGCAGCGAAAGCUGUGCUAAUACCGCAUAAGAUCUACGGAUGAAAGCAGGGGAUCGCAAGACCUUGCGCGAAUGGAGCGGCCGAUGGCAGAUUAGGUAGUUGGUGAGGUAAAGGCUCACCAAGCCUUCGAUCUGUAGCUGGUCUGAGAGGACGACCAGCCACACUGGGACUGAGACACGGCCCAGACUCCUACGGGAGGCAGCAGUGGGGAAUUUUGGACAAGUGGGACGAAAGCCUGAUCCAGCCAUGCCGCGUGCAGGAUGAAGGCCGUUCGGUUAGUUAAACUGUCUUUUGUACGGAACGAAAGUACUCUUUACUAAUAAAGAGGAUCAUGACGUACGUAAGAAUAAGACACGACUAACUACGUGACCG
Molecule: ribosomal RNA, 493 nt
Filed under: uncultured soil bacterium
Lineage: Bacteria
Description: bacterial SSU rRNA
Rfam family: Bacterial small subunit ribosomal RNA
Source: RNAcentral